RNAcentral lists this signal recognition particle RNA (103 nucleotides) under Helicobacter pylori 26695. It matches the Rfam family "Bacterial small signal recognition particle RNA". Rfam says of the family: The signal recognition particle (SRP) is a universally conserved ribonucleoprotein involved in the co-translational targeting of proteins to membranes. Archaeal SRP consists of a 7S RNA and homologues of the eukaryotic SRP19 and SRP54 proteins. In most bacteria, the SRP consists of a 4.5S RNA and the Ffh protein (a homologue of the eukaryotic SRP54 protein). Lineage: Bacteria; Pseudomonadati; Campylobacterota; Epsilonproteobacteria; Campylobacterales; Helicobacteraceae. RNAcentral also lists the same sequence under 7 other names. The record is from RNAcentral.
CUCUUAUUUAGACCUAUGCAAUAGGAUUUUAGGGUAACGCUUCAGGGUAGGAAUACAGCAGAGUCCCCUAAUUUCUUGUGUGCCUUAGCCAUCUGAAUAGGAG